CCCUUAGAUGUUCUGGGCCGCACGCGCGCUACACUGACGCAUUCAACGAGUCUAAAACCUGGUCUGAUAGGGCUGGGUAAUCUUUUGAAUGUGUGUCGUGAUUGGGAUAAAUGAUUGUAAUUCUUCAUUUUCAACGAGGAAUGCCUAGUAAACGCAAGUCAUCAGCUUGCAUUGAUUACGUCCCUGCCCUUUGUACACACCGCCCGUCGCUCCUACCGAUUGAAUGAUCCGAUGAAUAUCAUGGACUGAGAGUGUUAGAGUUUUCGGACUUCUACACUUCUCGGGAAGUGAAGUGAAUCUUAUCAUUUAGAGGAAGGAGAAGUCGUAACA
RNAcentral lists this ribosomal RNA (330 nucleotides) under uncultured eukaryote. Its description in RNAcentral is "partial 18S ribosomal RNA". It matches the Rfam family "Eukaryotic small subunit ribosomal RNA", at positions 1470 to 1796 of the family's 1831-position model. The record is from RNAcentral.